RNAcentral lists this unclassified non-coding RNA (237 nucleotides) under plant metagenome. Its description in RNAcentral is "partial contains small subunit ribosomal RNA, internal transcribed spacer 1, and 5.8S ribosomal RNA". The record is from RNAcentral.
UUUCCGUAGGUGAACCUGCGGAAGGAUCAUUAAUGAGAACUAAGGGUAGUAGUCUCGGCUAUUACUCUGAACACUCCACCCUUUGUUUAUAUUACCUUUGUUGCUUUAGCAGGCCCGCUCUCGAGCCGCCGGCACCUGCUGGCUAGUGCCUGCUAAAGAACCUAAAACUCUUGUUAAUAAUAUUGUCUGAGUACUAUAUAAUAGCUAAAACUUUCAACAACGGAUCUCUUGGUUCUG